GUUGACAUUCAUUUUUAGAUCCUGGGCUUAAACCGCAUCAUCUAGCAUUAUUGAUUUAGGGUUUGUGAGUUUGUACGAUAAAUGGGACAUAUGCAGGACAAUUGUGUUCCUUUCAAAUUUGAUUCAUUUCAUCUUCAUAUGUUUGUGCAUUCACGAGAAUGUUAUCUUAGACAUGAAUCAUGUAAAUCUUUUCCUUGAGCUCUUUAUGUAUCUACAAAGUUUACAAGUUUAAAGCUUUCUGGUGCUGGAAAAUCUUAAAGGGAUUUGUUUCGAAUAGAAUUAUAGUUCUCAUAACUAAUCUAUGAUAUUUUGGGUGUGUUUAGUCAUCUAUUGAUUAUUAGUUUCGGCUGAUGUAAUCCAUAUUCAUCAAUUCUCAAGAUUUCUGAUGUGAUGAUGUAUCUGUAUUCAUGUGUGCAGAUGGGAUCGGGAUCAAUCCUCAACAGAGUGCAGGUAACUAUCACAAUGCUAAACACUUGGUUAUUGCGUUUUACUCAAUUCUCUAUCUUUUAUGCCAUUGCAAUUCUCAGUUUUGUUUCUCUCUUGCAUGCUUUGAUUGCCAAUGUACUAAUAGAGUCUUAGAAGAUCACUAGUACUGUCCUUAAUGGUUGCGUGCUUUUCUUUUUUGGUGUUCCUUAGCCUCUAAGUGACUUCAGUGCAGUGUCCAUAGGAAAGCAACCUUUAGAUUAUUUACACACAGUCGGGUUCCGCUGUAAUAUCUCAGCUGUCUUUUUUAUGGUGUGGUCAUUAGCAACAUACAAGUAGAAAUCAAGCUCCUUGUUAAUGAAUGUGGUGUUGUGAAUGAUGUCAGGAAACGUUUUUCUGAAGCACGGAUCUGAACUAAGAUUGAUCCCGCGUGAUAGAGUUGGAGCUGUGUUUGUGAUGGAUCCAUAGAUGAUGUGUAAGCAAUGAUUAAAAACUCAGUUCCAAAAAAAACAUAAUAAUAUACUGAAAUGCUUAUGUACAACUUCGUUGAAUAAAUAUGUAAUCGUCACAAUUGAAGUGAGUUGAAUUUGGUCAAGUUAUAUGUCUGUUAUAAUUCAUAUUUAGAUAACGUAUGUGCACUAAAAAAGAGUAUGGAUCUCUCUGUAUAUGCUAACUCUUGUCAAUAUAAAUAUUUAUCUUGUAAUAUAGUUUUUUUAUUAAAAUAUAUUUUUAACUUUUAUUUUAUUUUAAAGUUAAAACUGUAAGGUUUUUUAUAUUUUUUAAAUAAUAUUUUGGAUAAACUAUUUUUUUGAAGUGUUUUAAGUUUUAUAUUUUGUGUAGACUUUGGAUACAACAUCCAAAACUAAGCGGUGUUUUAGAUUUAAUAUGCUUUACAUAUAAAGUUUUUAAAAUUCGAACCAAAAACUUGAAUAUUAAAUUUACAUAAUAAUAGGAAAAACAAAUUGAAUGUUUGGGAAUCGCUAACGACUGACUAAAUGAUGGAUUCAAAUCCGGUUAGAUUUCAUACCAUUAUGUAAAUUUAGUAUACACAGAAACAAAAAAAAUUUAAAAAACAUACACAACGAAAAAAGCUUUUAAAAAUUCGAAACGAAACAUAAUCAAAGUUUUAAAAACUAUUUUUAAAAAUCCGAAUUAAAAACUUGAACAUUAAAUCUACAUAAUAAUAGGAAAAACAAGUUGAAUAUUUGGAAUCGCUAACGACUAAUGCCGGAUCCAAAAACCGAUUAGAUUUCAUAUCAUUAUGUAAAAUUGACAUUCAAAUAAAUAAAAAUUGAAAUUAAUAAUAUAUAUAAAAAUUUAGUAUAUGAUUAGGGUUUAAGUUUUAGGGUUUAUAUAUAUUAAAAGCUAUUAAAAAAUUAUGAAGGGAUAGAAAUUGACCUGUUUCUUAAUGGGUAGGUGAAUGGGCUUUUUGUUGGGCUGAAUAUGAGAAUCCAAUCCAAUCUCCUCCACCAUCGUGUCUGUCACCAUACCUCCUAAACCAGAGCAUUGAAGAUUCGACGUCUUUUGAUGUCAAACAAAACCUCCUACGACGAGGAAGAGUGAGAGAAGAUAUCAAGAGACGAAGGGAGAAUAAGAAUUAGAAGCAUAUCUUCUUCCACCACGCCACGAAGUUUGAAGAUGAAAUAGAAGCACGAAUCGAGAAAGAAAAUUUUAAAAUCAUCGUUUGACGUUUUUGGUUGGAUACUUAAGAAUUUUAAGAAGUCAUAUUUACUAAAAGUCAAACGCCGAAUGUAGGAAGUAAAAUAUACGAUGUAUAAAUCAUACGAUAGUGGUUAAAAUAUACGAUAUACGAUAAUGAUUGUUAUUAACCCAGAGAAAAAUGCGCUCCUCUACGGAACCUAAACGCUUUAAAACUCCACGAUUGCAAAGGAUAGGAUGAUAGUGAUGAGUAUUUAACAACCUAAUUUUAUAAUCGAUUUUUAAAAAUUUUAAAAUUCCGUAAUUUUGUAAAACGCAGACACAAUUAUGAGUAUGUCACAAAACAAAGCUGAAACAGUGAAACGAAAACAGAGAGCUUUGAUUUUCUUUAUAAAAAAAUUCACCUAAAUGAAAUCUACUUGCUGCCAGAAACAGUAUUUACAUAAGAAAACGAAACAGUCAUGAACAAAUAAAAUUAAAAUUUUAUACACACAGUCUCGGCUAUAAAACAGAACAGGGGCAAAACAGAGAGAUCAUUUGUGGAAACAAAGCGUAGCUUAUCUAGACAAAAGCAUCAAUACGUGAAAGUAGCUAAUCUAGAUACGGAGCGUGUGUCAAGUAUUAACAAUAUUCUAUAUAGCAAGCAAGAUAAGUAACUAAACUCUAAAAUGUACGAAUUCGUCUAUUCGAAAGAAACUAAUAUAAUUAGGAAGAGAUCAAUCACUAACGAAAACAUGAAGAUUAUAACGGAACAAAAAGAGAUGGGAACGGAUCUUACGGAGUUCGGUUUUAAAAUCAGAGUUGGAUCGUCGUGUUUCUGAAACAGUAUCUUCAGUCCUCCGGGGAAAAUAACUGCAAAAGAGACAAAAGCGAUUCAUCACUAGCUCGAACUAAGAAACCUUAAAGAUCAAGAGAAAGGAUCUGCUAUUUCAGUGGAGUUUACCUGAAUGAUUGUUCGAGCAGAGCAUGAUCCUGACUGACUCAUGAGUAGGAGUGAAGGAAGAAAGAGAGAAACUUGACCGAGAGAUGGUGACGACGGUGAUGUCUCUCUCUCAUUAUCUUUUCUAUGAGCAGAAGAAUAGUUGAAAUUUGUAAAGAGAAGGAAGAAAUGUGUUGUUGGUAAU
This 3206-nucleotide long non-coding RNA is filed under the name Arabidopsis thaliana (thale cress). Its description in RNAcentral is "long non-coding RNA (ATHA_LNC000652)". The record is from RNAcentral. Lineage: Eukaryota; Viridiplantae; Streptophyta; Magnoliopsida; Brassicales; Brassicaceae.